AACGAACGCUGGCGGCAUGCCUAACACAUGCAAGUCGAACGAGACCUUCGGGUCUAGUGGCGCACGGGUGCGUAACGCGUGGGAACCUGCCCUUAGGUUCGGAAUAACUCCCCGAAAGGGGUGCUAAUACCGGAUAAUGUCUUCGGACCAAAGAUUUAUCGCCUUUGGAUGGGCCCGCGUUGGAUUAGCUAGUUGGUAGGGUAAAAGCCUACCAAGGCGACGAUCCAUAGCUGGUCUGAGAGGAUGAUCAGCCACACUGGGACUGAGACACGGCCCAGACCCCUCGGGGAGGCAGCAGGGGGGAAAUUGGGAAAAGGGGCGAAAGCCUGACCCAGCAAUGCCGGGUGGGUGAUGAAGGCCUUAGGGUGGUAAAGCUCUUUUACCCGGGAUGAUAAGGACAGUACCGGGAAAAAAAGCCCCGGCUAACUCCGG
RNAcentral lists this ribosomal RNA (432 nucleotides) under uncultured bacterium. RNAcentral's name for it is "partial 16S ribosomal RNA". It matches the Rfam family "Bacterial small subunit ribosomal RNA", at positions 29 to 506 of the family's 1533-position model. The record is from RNAcentral.